This 456-nucleotide ribosomal RNA is filed under the name uncultured crenarchaeote. Its description in RNAcentral is "bacterial SSU rRNA". It matches the Rfam family "Archaeal small subunit ribosomal RNA", at positions 195 to 654 of the family's 1478-position model. Lineage: Archaea; Thermoproteati; Thermoproteota. The record is from RNAcentral.
UUAUUUUCGCCCGAGGAUGGGACUGCGGCCGAUCAGGCUGUGGGUGGGGUAAAUUCCCUCCUAUCUUGACCGGUCGGGCCUUGGGAGAAGGAGCCCGGAGAUGGACACCAAGACAAGGGUCCAGGUCCUUCGGGGCGCAGCCGGCCCGAAACCUUCGCAAUGCGCGAAAGCGCGACGAGGUUAUUCUGAGUGAUUUCCGCUGAGGAAAUCUUUUCUUAGAUCUAAAAAGUCUGGGGAAUAAGGGGAGGGCAAGUCUGGUGUCAGCCGCCGCGGUAAUACCAGCUCCUCGAGUGGUCAGGGCGUUUAUUGGGCCUAAAGCAUCCGUAGCCUGCUCAGUAGGUCUCCUGUUAAAUCCAACGGCUCAACCGUUGGUCUGCAGGAGAUACCGCUGGGCUAGGAGGCGGGAGAGGCGGACGGUACUCCGAGGGUAGGGGUAAAAUCCUUUGAUCCCCGGAA